GGCCCAAAUUUGAAGUAGACUUGAUUAGAAGGAUCAUCUGACCCUACUAAACUACUCUACUUCGAGUUUGUGCUC
Molecule: non-coding RNA, 75 nt
Organism: Haemonchus placei
Lineage: Eukaryota; Metazoa; Nematoda; Chromadorea; Rhabditida; Trichostrongylidae
Source: Rfam